AUCUAAAUAGCUUAAUUAGAAGAGUGUAAUAUUGAAGAUGUUAAGGUGGUAUAAUGACUUUUAGAUA
This 67-nucleotide transfer RNA is filed under the name Phyllomimus sp. ZJZ-2017. RNAcentral's name for it is "tRNA-Phe". The record is from RNAcentral. Lineage: Eukaryota; Metazoa; Arthropoda; Insecta; Orthoptera; Tettigoniidae.